CGUGUAGGCGGCCUUGCAAGUUGGGUGUGAAAGCCCUCGGCUUAACCGAGGAAGUGCGCCCAAAACUACGAGGCUUGAGUGCCGGAGAGGGUGGCGGAAUUCCCGGUGUAGAGGUGAAAUUCGUAGAUAUCGGGAGGAACACCAGCGGCGAAGGCGGCCACCUGGACGGUAACUGAACGCUGAGACGCGAAAGCGUGGGGAGCAAACA
RNAcentral lists this ribosomal RNA (208 nucleotides) under uncultured delta proteobacterium. RNAcentral's name for it is "partial 16S ribosomal RNA". It matches the Rfam family "Bacterial small subunit ribosomal RNA", at positions 568 to 774 of the family's 1533-position model. The record is from RNAcentral. Lineage: Bacteria; Deltaproteobacteria.